AGUCGAGCGAGUCUGCCUUGAAGAUCGGAGUGCUUGCACUCUGUGAAACAAGAUACAGGCUAGCGGCGGACGGGUGAGUAACACGUGGGUAACCUGCCCAAGAGAUCGGGAUAACACCUGGAAACAGAUGCUAAUACCGGAUAAUAACAGAUGAUGCCUAUCAACUGUUUAAAAGAUGGUUCUGCUAUCACUCUUGGAUGGACCUGCGGUGCAUUAGCUAGUUGGUAGGGUAACGGCCUACCAAGGCGAUGAUGCAUAGCCGAGUUGAGAGACUGAUCGGCCACAUUGGGACUGAGACACGGCCCAAACUCCUACGGGAGGCAGCAGUAGGGAAUCUUCCACAAUGGACGCAAGUCUGAUGGAGCAACGCCGCGUGAGUGAAGAAGGGUUUCGGCUCGUAAAGCUCUGUUGUUGGUGAAGAAGGACAGGGGUAGUAACUGACCUUUGUUUGACGGUAAUCAAUUAGAAAGUCACGGCUAACUACGUGCCAGCAGCCGCGGUAAUACGUAGGUGGCAAGCGUUGUCCGGAUUUAUUGGGCGUAAAGCGAGUGCAGGCGGUUCGAUAAGUCUGAUGUGAAAGCCUUCGGCUCAACCGGAGAAUUGCAUCAGAAACUGUCGAGCUUGAGUACAGAAGAGGAGAGUGGAACUCCAUGUGUAGCGGUGAAAUGCGUAGAUACAUGGAAGAACACCGGUGGCGAAGGCGGCNCUCUGGUCUGUUACUGACGCUGAGGCUCGAAAGCAUGGGUAGCG
Molecule: ribosomal RNA, 750 nt
Filed under: uncultured bacterium
Lineage: Bacteria
Description: bacterial SSU rRNA
Rfam family: Bacterial small subunit ribosomal RNA
Source: RNAcentral